This 549-nucleotide ribosomal RNA is filed under the name uncultured Glomus. RNAcentral's name for it is "SSU rRNA". It matches the Rfam family "Eukaryotic small subunit ribosomal RNA", at positions 548 to 1098 of the family's 1831-position model. Lineage: Eukaryota; Fungi; Glomeromycota; Glomeromycetes; Glomerales; Glomeraceae. The record is from RNAcentral.
UUGGAGGGCAAGUCUGGUGCCAGCAGCCGCGGUAAUUCCAGCUCCAAUAGCGUAUAUUAAAGUUGUUGCAGUUAAAAAGCUCGUAGUUGAAUUUCGGGAUCAAUAUAUCGGUCGUGCCAUCGGUACGUACUGGUAUGAUUGGUUUCUCCUUUCUGACGAACCAUGAUGUCAUUAAUUUGGUGUUAUGGGAAGUUAGGACUGUUACUUUAAAAAAAUUAGAGUGUUUAAAGCAGGCUUUAGCUUGAAUACAUUAGCAUGGAAUAAUGAAAUAGGACGUUCGAACCUAUUUUGUUGGUUUCUAGGAUCAACGUAAUGAUUAAUAGGGAUAGUUGGGGGCAUUAGUAUUCAAUUGUCAGAGGUGAAAUUCUUGGAUUUAUUGAAGACUAACUACUGCGAAAGCAUUUGCCAAGGAUGUUUUCAUUAAUCAAGAACGAAAGUUAGGGGAUCGAAGACGAUCAGAUACCGUCGUAGUCUUAACCAUAAACUAUGCCGACUAGGGAUCGGAUGAUGUUAAUUUUUUAAUGACUCAUUCGGCGCCUUACGGGAAAC